Hydra vulgaris (swiftwater hydra) is the source of this 232-nucleotide non-coding RNA. The record is from RefSeq and is a predicted model, not a curated record. NCBI's taxonomy places the organism in Eukaryota, Metazoa, Cnidaria, Hydrozoa, Anthoathecata, Hydridae.
CAUUUAUUUAGGAUAAACUUAUUUUAGAAACAAUUUCUGCACAUCCAGUGAAAACUUCUUCACUCGAGCGAAAUCCAAAAAAAUCUAGAGCUACUCUAUUGAAACAUAAUGCACAUAAUAACCCACUCUCUAACGUAACUUUAUUAUCAUCAAUGAAAAAAACAGAACAGUUGCAGUGUCUUGACAUACCAAUAAAAGCAUUAUCUCCACUUCCAGUUAGAACUUCUCCUCU